This 315-nucleotide ribosomal RNA is filed under the name Triticum aestivum (bread wheat). RNAcentral's name for it is "partial small subunit ribosomal RNA". Lineage: Eukaryota; Viridiplantae; Streptophyta; Magnoliopsida; Poales; Poaceae. The record is from RNAcentral.
AUGUCGAGCGUAUACGCUUGCAUGUUGUUCUUAUUCUUUGUCGUGCUAAAUCCGGUGAGCCUCGCCGCCGGCACCACCAACAGCAGCGGUGCGGCUGGAUUCAGCCUGCCCCUCGUGCCCCACUACCGCACUGAAGCUGGCAUACUCGAGGAGCUCCUGCCGGAAGGUGAUGCCGAGGGCGGCGUGAACAUCACGUCCAUACGCCCCAAGAUGAUCCCAUUGACGGGGCCUGUCUACAGCGUCCACGUCGGCGUCGGCAGCGGCGAAACCCAGCACUUCUACAAAAGCUCGCGCUGGACCUCGUCCGCCCCCUGA